RNAcentral lists this microRNA precursor (102 nucleotides) under Marmota monax (woodchuck). The record is from RNAcentral. Lineage: Eukaryota; Metazoa; Chordata; Mammalia; Rodentia; Sciuridae.
AGUGGGAUAGCUGGGUCAAAUGGUGGUUCCAUUCCAAGUUUCUAAGGUAUCUCCAUAUUGCUUUCUAAAGUGGUUAUACCGUUUUGCAAUCCCACCAGUAAU